CAGUCGCCGCGGUAAUACGGAGGGGGCUAGCGUUGUUCGGAAUUACUGGGCGUAAAGCGCACGUAGGCGGCUUUGUAAGUCAGAGGUGAAAGCCCGGAGCUCAACUCCGGAACUGCCUUUAAGACUACAGAGCUAGCAGGUGAGAGAGGUGAGUGGAAUUCCGAGUGUAGAGGUGAAACUCGUAGAUAUUCGGAAGAACACCAGUGGCGAAGGCGGCUCACUGGCUCAUACUGGACGCUGAGGUGCGAAAGCGUGGGGAGCAAACAGGAUUAGAUACCCGCGUAGUCCCUGUCUCUUAUAC
RNAcentral lists this ribosomal RNA (301 nucleotides) under uncultured bacterium. RNAcentral describes it as "partial 16S ribosomal RNA". It matches the Rfam family "Bacterial small subunit ribosomal RNA", at positions 509 to 807 of the family's 1533-position model. The record is from RNAcentral.